GAGGUCACCUGCCCUGCCCAGCAGCCGCAUGGAGAUCACCCAGUAGCCCUCAGGAGUCGGGGCUCCCACUUGUGAACCGGGAGCUCAGCUGAGACUCUCUGCGUGGCCAACCCUCUCCAGAGACCGGCUCCACCGCCAGCCAGAUUGGAUGCUGAGCGUGUCCACACAGCACGCACUCACUGGGACUCAGCGUGCUGGGACUCAGCUCCCCGCCGCCCAGUCCCUCGGGCCUAGAGGUCCACGAGGCGAGACAGACCCAAAGAGAGAGGCAAGGACGUGGGCGUUGGUCGGUCUUGCGGGGAGGAGGUGCCGUGCUCUCCCCACUUCCUGACCCAGCAGAAAGCGCCCGGGCGUGUCCAGAUAAACCGCGCCUUAAUCGAGGCGCCAUUCCGGCCCGGAACAGGCCAGGCCCAGGGUGCAGAGUGGACACUCCCAGGUGUCCAAGCCGGCGAGCUCGGGUCCCGCAGAACCGGCGGCCCUGGAGACGCCCCGAGGGCAGCCCCGCUGCAGCCUUGCUCGGGUCCCCUAGCCCGGCGCCUCCGCAAACCAACCCACCGCGGGCCGCCGAGCCCCGCUCCGGGAUCCGCCGGCUGCCUCCAUCCCAGAAGAGUGCGCAGAGAAUUAAAUCUAGAUAUUUACAUGUUUAAUGGCUAAAGGAGCCUGUCUUCUGGCAGGGCAGGGAGGGCGCUCAGGUGGUUUAACUCAGCGCCGGGAUCCCGCUCAGCUGCGGGGGCCGCGAACCCCGCCGCUGGGCCGACGAUUGGGCCCCUCCGGAGCGCGGCGCCCAACGCGGGUUUCGUUGCGUCGGGGAAGUCCGUGGCCUGCAGCGUCCAGUCCCCAGGCUGUCAGCCGAGCCCUGGAGUGGGGCGUUCUCCAGGCCCCCAACCCCUGAUCCAGGCCGUUCCCCUCCCGCGCACCCUCCGGCGGGGGCUGCAGCCCGCGCCCCUCGCCGCCAAGCCCCAUUUUCCCACAGUGCAAACUGCAGCAAACGAACUGGUUUUCUCCUGAGCGCACGCUGCGGGGAGACGAUUCCAACGGCGUCCAGUGAGGAGGGGCCCAGGCCUGCGAGACGGGGCGCGUUCCUGUCCCCAGACCCCUCCGGCUGCGCCUCAACCCCCAGCCCGGCUCUCUGACCUGCAUCGGUCGGGCCGGGCACAGAGGAGGCAAAGCAGGCGGAGGCCGCGAGAGGAGAGCAGCCUGACCUCCCGCCUGAGCCCGGACCCUUCCCCUCGGGCACCCUCGGACGCCCCCGCCCCAGCGUGUUACUUUCUAGAUGGGGAAACUGAGGCGCGGCCAGGGCGAUGCGGCGGAAGUCCCGCGCCCGGCCGUCUCCCGCGCCUGCCAGA
RNAcentral lists this long non-coding RNA (1346 nucleotides) under Homo sapiens (human). RNAcentral describes it as "HSALNT0254309". The record is from RNAcentral. Lineage: Eukaryota; Metazoa; Chordata; Mammalia; Primates; Hominidae.